CGCUCUCUGCGGUGUUCGCCAGCAGGAAAGUAAUAUGCCUUGUCCCUACUUAUCGACCUCGGGACGGCGCCUUUCAUCGCUGGUGUGCCGGUCGCGUAACCGCGAAUGGCCUGAAGGCGUGAAGAGCCGACCCACUUGAACCUCUGGUUCAAGGUCACCGACCUGCAGCGGCACAGGCGGAGAGCGC
Molecule: non-coding RNA, 187 nt
Filed under: Wenzhouxiangella marina
Lineage: Bacteria; Pseudomonadati; Pseudomonadota; Gammaproteobacteria; Chromatiales; Wenzhouxiangellaceae
Description: 6S / SsrS RNA
Rfam family: 6S / SsrS RNA
About the family: E. coli 6S RNA was the first non coding RNA to be sequenced, but its function was unknown until recently. It consists of 184 nucleotides that fold into an extended hairpin structure with a large single-stranded internal bulge.
Source: Rfam by way of RNAcentral